GUAAAUAUAUUAGAAGUGAUUGUGUUCAUUAGUACAACCUAAGUAGAUUGGAAAAACCAAUUAAUAGCAAUUUACUAUAAGAGUCUCUAACUGACUUCUUGAAAGUAUUUAUCCUGAAGUGCAAGUCAUUUGAUUUAGUUAAUGUUUAUUAUAUAUGCAGAUCUUCCAGGGAAAAUGUAUUUUUGAGUACUCCAGACAAUUGAAACUAGUGAGCCCACUGUCUGGGGAAAGCAUCUGUAACCGCAGCCAAAAGAGGAACAAGAUUUCCGACGUUGUUUCAAGACAUGCGUUUGAAGCAUGGGUUCCCAUCACUUUCAGAGCAAGGGGUUAUCACAGGCCAGCUGACAGAGUGGAAAGCAGAGCAGUAAGAAUGGGAGUAAACCAAGAUUUUAUACUGAAUUUUGUACUGGUGUGGAUGAAGAGCAACCGCCAAUUCUGAUAGACUAUUGUGCAUGUAUAGACAGACAUAGCCCAGAGUUGUGGCAGCCAUUAAUAGAUCAGGCAAGCCCUUGCAGCUGUGUUUUGAUCAGCAGAAAGGUUUUUGGCAUCCAAGAGCUGAAAUCCCCUUUUGGGUAUGACAAGUGCAUCGAAGUACCUAGCAAGUUAAAAUCAAGGGUUUCUGUGAGGAGGGAGUAAGAACACCUACCACAAAAAAUUAAGGGUAAGAUAACCUUUAAUAAUCUCUACAAUGCAAACCCAAUUGUAUGUGUUGCAUUUAAUUGGCAUUUAGCCAUCUAUCAUUUGCUGGCUCAUAAAGCUGAUUUGUGCUCUUUCCUCCUGUCCCUUUUUCCUGGAGCUGCUGGCCUCUUUUCACCACGCCUUUCCCAUAGGCACAUACAUGGGAUCUACACAUUCUUUUGUCUCUUCCUCUGGAACGCUGCUUUUUAUCAUGUGGGGAAAGGGAGUUUUGUGAGCAGCUUUCUUUCUUCUUUAUUGUUGAAUGCCACUUAUAAACUCUGUCACUAGACUCUUGGAAGGUAUCUAAAAUGCUAGACAAGGAAACAGGUAUAAUUCAGAGGAAAACUGACCUUGAUUGAAUAGGGUCAAAAUGCUUCAACUACCUCUUUCAUUUGAAACUCCUCAUUUAUAGACUCACGCUUCUUUCACCGUAGCUUGAGGGUUGACAUAAAUAUAUGUGGGAUGUGUGUUAGUCUUAAAGAUAGGAAGCUCAGCUAGAUUUAGUGAAUUCUGCAACUAAUCAAACUCUUUGUGAAAAACACACAAUUUCUCCCCUAGAGUUGUAAGACUGUGAUUAUUGAGAACACCAAAAUUUGUUUCUUUGUUUAUUUUCAGAAAACCACUUUGGGCAUUCCCCAGGUAUUAAGAUGUAAUAGACAAGUUAAAGCUCCAACUGCUAAUUGCCAGGUCCAGUUGUACAUGUUAAUCAGGCUUCUGAGGAAACACAAAAGGUACUAACCUCUAAGUUAUCUGUCUAAAAAAAAUUGAACAUUCAC
This 1454-nucleotide long non-coding RNA is filed under the name Coturnix japonica (Japanese quail). Its description in RNAcentral is "lncRNA (ENSCJPG00005014339.1)". Lineage: Eukaryota; Metazoa; Chordata; Aves; Galliformes; Phasianidae. The record is from RNAcentral.